Molecule: long non-coding RNA, 499 nt
Organism: Phyllostomus discolor (pale spear-nosed bat)
Lineage: Eukaryota; Metazoa; Chordata; Mammalia; Chiroptera; Phyllostomidae
Exons: 2
Source: RefSeq, a predicted model, not a curated record
ACUGAAAUUGUGUAUCAACUUCAUAACCUAAACACUACAAUGAGAACUAAACAUUUGAUGAAAAGAAAAUUAGAUUAAGCAAAAUUAAUAAGUCUAUAAAAAAAAAAGGACCUUUUCAAUGUUACAUAAGAAUUGUGCAUUGAAUAGUGUGUGCAAGAGUUAGGUUUCAAGCUCAGCCUUUUACUGGCUAUAGACCUUGAACAGGCUGUUUUGGAAUCAAAUGAGAUAAUACCUGCAAAAGGCUUAGCAUAGUGCAUGGAACUUAAGUCAAUAAAUGUAGCUGUAAUUAUCUUUAUUAUGCAUCAAAAUUUAAAAUUUCCUCUUUUUACUUUAUGUAGAAUUAUUUACUCUAACAAUAUGGACUGGUCUUUUCCUCCAAAGUACACGUGUAUUCAGGAGAGACUUUCUCAAACAAAAAGAAGUACUACAGGAACUGAAUACGAUUGAACUUAGUGGAUGAAAGCACAGAAUGUUUGUGUAUCGAAUGCUCCAUUAAAAA